CAAGUUCGAACGCCCCGCAAGGGGAGUGGCAGACGGGUGAGUAACGCGUGGGAAACUACCUAGUUCUACGGAACAACAGUCGGAAACGACCGCUAAUACCGUAUACGCCCUACGGGGGAAAGACCAUCGGAAUCAGAUGAGCCCGCGUAAGAUUAGCUAGUUGGUGAGGUAAUGGCUCACCAAGGCGACGAUCUUUAGCUCGGUCUGAGAGGAUGAUCAGCCACACUGGGACUGAGACACGGCCCAGACUCCUACGGGAGGCAGCAGUGGGGAAUAUUGGACAAUGGGCGCAAGCCUGAUCCAGCCAUGCCGCGUGAGUGAUGAAGGCCUUAGGGUUGUAAAGCUCUUUCACCGAUGAAGAUAAUGACGGUAGUCGGAGAAGAAGCCCCGGCUAACUUCGUG
Molecule: ribosomal RNA, 402 nt
Filed under: Devosia sp.
Lineage: Bacteria; Pseudomonadati; Pseudomonadota; Alphaproteobacteria; Hyphomicrobiales; Devosiaceae
Description: bacterial SSU rRNA
Rfam family: Bacterial small subunit ribosomal RNA
Source: RNAcentral